UACGGAGGGUGCAAGCGUUGUCCGGAAUCACUGGGCGUAAAGGGUGCGUAGGUGGUGAGGUAAGUCGGAUGUGAAAUCUCCGAGCUCAACUCGGAAAUGGCAUUGGAAACUACCUUGCUUGAGGGUUGGAGGGGGGACUGGAAUACUUGGUGUAGCAGUGAAAUGCGUAGAUAUCAAGUGGAACACCAGUGGCGAAGGCGAGUCCCUGGACAACUCCUGACACUGAGGCACGAAAGCUAGGGGAGCAAACAGG
RNAcentral lists this ribosomal RNA (253 nucleotides) under uncultured bacterium. RNAcentral's name for it is "partial 16S ribosomal RNA". It matches the Rfam family "Bacterial small subunit ribosomal RNA", at positions 524 to 776 of the family's 1533-position model. The record is from RNAcentral.